RNAcentral lists this ribosomal RNA (253 nucleotides) under uncultured bacterium. Its description in RNAcentral is "partial 16S ribosomal RNA". It matches the Rfam family "Bacterial small subunit ribosomal RNA", at positions 524 to 776 of the family's 1533-position model. The record is from RNAcentral.
UACAGAGGUCCCAAGCGUUGUUCGGAUUCAUUGGGCGUAAAGGGUGCGUAGGCGGCGCGGUAAGUCGGGUGUGAAAUCUCGGAGCUUAACUCCGAAACUGCAUUCGAUACUGCCGUGCUUGAGGACUGGAGAGGAGACUGGAAUUUACGGUGUAGCGGUGAAAUGCGUAGAUAUCGUAAGGAAGACCAGUGGCGGAGGCGGGUCUCUGGACAGUUCCUGACGCUGAGGCACGAAGGCCAGGGGAGCAAACGGG